CUCUCUCUCUCUCUCUCUCUCUCUCUCUCUCUCUCUCUUCACUUAUUCCUCUUCACCGCCACACCCUCGCCUCUAGCAAAGCAAAACAGAGACACCACCGCCUCCGUCAGUGAAGCACGGUCUCUCGUGUCGGAUCUCUGACCCGUGGUUUGAUGGGUGGAGAGAAACGGUGAUGGAGAAAAAGUCGGUGGCGUGGAUGGUGAGGGAAUGAGAGGAGAAUUUUGGACCAUAUGAGUGUGAGAUGAGUUGGAGAGCUGCAGAGCUGAGUUUGGAAUAUGCAGGUUAUGAGGUUCUGAGGCAUUUCAUGAGAUGUAUUGCUCGAGAGCGUGCUGGGUUGACUGAAACAUGCUGGAAUCAUAGUGUCUGAACUUUGAUCUCGUGUUUGUUUUUCAGAAAAUACAAUUCAAGAUCAAUUGAAGAAAGGUUAAAAGAGACAAGACAUGAGAGAGAGACAUGAUAGACGAGGGAAGUCAUGAGUGUGAAUCCCCGCUUGGGAGCGCUUUGGUGAGGUAGGGUAUCUUGGCUUUGAAUGAUCGAUCUAGGUGGUGGAAAAAGGCUCAUAUCAUACGGGAGUGAGCUGGGUUGGACCAUGGAGUACUUUUCCAGUCAACAGUUGGUACUCAAUUCGCAAGCUCAUAAAAAUAUACUGACAAACUCUGUUCAUUUUAAUACUUGUAGUUUUAUCAUAAAAUAUGAAUAAUAUAAAACAUGAA
Carya illinoinensis is the source of this 713-nucleotide long non-coding RNA. RefSeq lists it as uncharacterized. The transcript is spliced from 3 exons. Lineage: Eukaryota; Viridiplantae; Streptophyta; Magnoliopsida; Fagales; Juglandaceae. The record is from RefSeq and is a predicted model, not a curated record.